RNAcentral lists this ribosomal RNA (451 nucleotides) under uncultured bacterium. RNAcentral's name for it is "partial 16S ribosomal RNA". It matches the Rfam family "Bacterial small subunit ribosomal RNA", at positions 356 to 800 of the family's 1533-position model. The record is from RNAcentral.
AGGGAAUCUUCCACAAUGGACGCAAGUCUGAUGGAGCAACGCCGCGUGAGUGAAGAAGGCUUUCGGGUCGUAAAACUCUGUUAUUGAAGAAGAACGUGUGUGAUGUAACUGGUCAUGCAGUGACGGUAUUCAAUCAGAAAGUCACGGCUAACUACGUGCCAGCAGCCGCGGUAAUACGUAGGUGGCAAGCGUUGUCCGGAUUUAUUGGGCGUAAAGCGAGUGCAGGCGGUCUUUUAAGUCUGAUGUGAAAGCCUUCGGCUUAACCGAAGAAGGGCAUCGGAAACUGGGAGACUUGAGUGCAGAAGAGGAGAGUGGAACUCCAUGUGUAGCGGUGAAAUGCGUAGAUAUAUGGAAGAACACCAGUGGCGAAGGCGGCUCUCUGGUCUGUAACUGACGCUGAGGCUCGAAAGCGUGGGUAGCAAACAGGAUUAGAUACCCUGGUAGUCCACGC